RNAcentral lists this long non-coding RNA (270 nucleotides) under Malus domestica (apple). RNAcentral's name for it is "long non-coding RNA (MDOM_LNC015597)". The record is from RNAcentral. Lineage: Eukaryota; Viridiplantae; Streptophyta; Magnoliopsida; Rosales; Rosaceae.
GUGUGGGGGAAGUGUGAGUUAUUAUGCUUGUUGAAAAGAAAAGAAGAGUUGAAAAAAAAAAAAAAAAAAAAAAAAAAAAAAAGAGUUGAAAAAUAUGCGAAAAAGAGUUUUAAAGUGCUGCUUGUUGAAGAAAGGGUCCAAAACAUAGAAUUCGGCCCUAAUUAUUGCUUGAAUUUUCCCUUCGUGUCUAAAAGUUGAUUUCUGCAAUCUAAGUGAAUUCUAAGUUUCAAUUUCAUUACUUUACUUGCUAUUGCUUUAAGAACGAUUGUU